This 1324-nucleotide unclassified non-coding RNA is filed under the name Daphnia pulicaria. RNAcentral describes it as "uncharacterized LOC124328585, transcript variant X2". Lineage: Eukaryota; Metazoa; Arthropoda; Branchiopoda; Diplostraca; Daphniidae. The record is from RNAcentral.
GCAUCUCCGACACGGCAACAACUCCAUAUUUCGUCGUAAUAUCAGUUCGCAAUCAUGGUUAAUUAUGGCAUUGUGUUGCUGUUGGGUGUUGUAUCGUUGAUGUCGACCACGAGAGAAAAUCUUUUAAAAGGAAAGAGAAAAGGCAACAGAAGUCAAUCGAGUGAGCAUCUCCGACCCGGUAACAACUGCAUUCUUCGUCGUAUUACCAGGUCGCAAUCACGGUUAACUAUGCCGUCAUGCUGCUAUUGGUUGUUGUAUCGUCGAUGGCUGGGUCGACCACUGGUGUACCGACGUCUCCUGAAUAAGGCGUAUAUCAAACCGCAACGCCACCGCCUUACUACGCAACAACAUACGCAACGACCAGAUACUACACCGAGGUUGCACUGUUGGGUUUACAGUUAAACCACCAAGGAUCCAGAUGAUUUCACCACAACUUGUGCUGCUCCUCGAGCUACACUACCAAAGCGCUAGAGUACUACACCGAGGCACCUACUGAGACUACGCAACUACGUAUGCUGCCCCAACCUACGACACCGAGGCUCCAGCUUAUUACAUCACCAAGGCUGUCGAAUUCUACACUGGAGCGCCCAAGUACGACAGAAAUCAGUCAAGUGAGCUUCUCCGACACCCAACACGGCAACCCCGAAGUUUCGAAUAAACUUCGUUUCAAACAGUGGAACGGCAAAGAGUGAAGACAAAUUCGACUGCAAUCGCGUCGAAUUGAAUAGCAAUGAUAACAUAUUCGUACGUGUACACCGCGCCGUUAAACUUGACAUUGUCGGUCGGCAAGCCGCACUUGACGAUGGCCGUACCAUCACCUACGACAAGUGCGUUAUUGCCACAGGUGUUAAACGAAAAUCUUUUCCAAUCCCUGAGCGGUGCCCUUAAAGAUGCCCACGAGCACGUAGCGCUGUUCCGCAACAUCGAUGGCGGUAACAUAGGUCGAGUUCUCCGUCCUCCUAAAUAUUUGAGCCAAUGGACAACCGAGAAGGUGAAAGCGGAAAGUGUUAAUGUUUUGCCCAAAACUAAUGUUGAGGGUGUAAUUUUGGAAGACUACAAGGUCGCAUUGUCCUUAAACAAUGAUUUAAACUGACAAUAUCGUCGCUGCUGUCGGUUGGGACGUAAACACGGAUUUGGCUGUUGCUUUUGGUUUGGAAAUAGAGGAGAGGAGAUUUUGGUGGUUAUCGAGUCAAUACCGAGCUUGAAGCACAAUCGAACGUUUGUUUGACGUUCUUUUGUGAUAUCAAAUUGGGUCGCUGUUGUAUGGAACAUGUUCACCAUGCUGUUGUAUCAGGGCGAUUGGCUGGAGAGAACAAUACUGGCA